UUGAGAAGAGCAUUCAUUCAAGGAGUUUGUAAGGUAUCUAAGAAGUCGGAUGCCCGCUUUGGACUUCUAUGCUUUACGCAGUCGAUGCAAUGCUAUACUCGUUUAUAGUUUUGUAGAAUGAUUAAUACUCAGAAGUUUCCUAUUUUUCCUUGUAGUUUUAGAUAAAAUAUUGUUGUUGAUAAUUGUGCUUUUUUUUCUGCUUGGUAGAGUUCGUGUUUAUUGGGCAUGAAUUGACUAAUAUUUUUUCUUUAAUUUUCUUAAUGUUUAAGAAUUGAUUGGCUUCUUCAUCUGUUCCAUAUCUUGGUAGGAAAUCAAGUGUUGGAUCGUCAUGCAUAUCGAUAUAAAAUAACGAUUAUACAUUUAUUCGCCCAGUUGAUCAUAAUAUAGUCAUAUCCAUUCCUUGAUAUCAUAGCGUGGCAGGGCCUCCGUGCAUCACGGUGGGGGCGCGUGUUAACUGUCCGAAUCCGAAUCCGAAUCCGCCCUCACCCGUUUGAACACCAGACACGAGAUCCCAAGUCCGCGAAGUCCACGCGACGCCCAAUUAAUUGAACGAGUCUCGCCCAAUUAAUUGCGUGAGGAUAGCGCAUCUUCCGGGAUUCCCUCCAACUUACCGCAAGAAACUGGCACGCUUGAUAUGACGUGUCGACCACAUCUGACCGUUUGAUGUAGAUAUUGGACCAUGAAAUUAGAUUGACUAGUUGGAGAGGAUCCGUCAUCGUUAUCGCAAUCAGAAAUCUCGAAGUUGUUAGCCAGUGCAGUCGAUGACCGUACUCGGACGUCUCUCCCUGCAAUAAGUUGUGCACCGGGGUCAUGUUCUCCGCCUUCCUCUCUGCUGUCAGAUCUCUCAUCGCUUUCCCAUGGCGGUGGCCUCCUCCUUGACGCCGUCAUCACUUGCGCUCUCGCUAGUUUCUGUCGUCGUCCUCCUUUCGACUGCGGAUCUCGCUUUCUCUUUGAUUCCACCGUCAAGCUCGCCCUCUCCCUCGCCGGUUCCAGGAGGUCCGCUCCGAUCGUCUCCCGCACCCUCGCCGGACUCCCCUCCCUCGCCAUCGCCAUCGCCGUCGCCCGAGAACCUUCUCUCUCCACUGGUGCCGGCGCUGCCGCCGGAGGUGCCUUCGCCCGCUCCGACCCCAUCCGCGACGCCGUCGCCAGCACCGGUGCCGAGCCACGAGGAGAUCCAGUCCGGGGAGGUCGCCGACCAAGCGGGCCGUGACGGAGAAGGGGGAGGGAUGAGCGGGGAGAAGAAGGCGGGGAUCGCAGUGGGGGUGGUACUGGGGGUGGCGGUGCUCGCGGGCGGUGCUGUGCUGUACAAGAAGCGGCAGGACAACAUCCGGCGGUCCAGAUUCAAGACAACAACACUCUGGUCUUCAUUGUUGAUAUUCAAGAUGACAAGAAGAUGAUAAAAGCAGCUGUGUAGAAGAUGUAUGCAAAGAAAGUUAAUACUCUGAUCAGGCCCUGACUGAUGGAACUAAGAAGGCUUAUAUUAGAUUAAUGCAUGACUACGACGCCCUCGAUGUUGCAAAUAAAAUCGGCAUCAUUUGUUGCUGAGAUAAAAUUUAGCUCUUCACUUGAUCCCAGUUUUGAGGUUGUAUUUUUCACACCCUAUCAUUUACUUGGAAUGUUCUCUUGAUUUUUGCCGUGUUUGUUUUGAGAUGAUAUAAUGUUAGUCUGCCUCAUUAGUGUAGUUUUUAACUGACCAUCUAGUUUUCUUCUAUAGUUAAUUCACUCCUCUGAACAUUCUAGCAGAGUAUUUGAUCAACCUAAUGGUUGCUAUCUAUGUUGCUUCAACUAGAUUUAAUAUCCUACCUUUUUGUUACUGUUGUGAAUGAUAGUAGAUGAGAUUUCCGGAAAUCUCUCUAUCGUAUCGAGGAAAAUCCUCUCUGUCGAGGGAAAUCCUCUCUCCUAACUUGUAUAAAUAGGAGAGGGAUACGUUAAUGCAAAUCAGCUUCCAGCUUCUUCUGUAAUAAUUUCUUUCUCUAUUCAUUUUCUAACAUGGUAUCAGAGCUAUAGCCCCAGUAAUCUGAGGGCUCAAUCUCUCCUCAUAUGGCUAGAAAAGGCAGUGCCGCUGUGUUGUUGCGUUGCUGCUUCUCCCCUUCCAACCUCACCAGAGGUCGACGGGACUCCUCUAACUCCUCCACCACGCAACAGCAUCAAGUACAAGGUUCGCCUCCUUUUCUGAUCUCACUUCUGUCUCGCUGCCAAGUGCAUCUCAAAUCGCAGUGGAAGCAACGCAGAUCUACCUGAGAUUUGCCUCUCAAAUCUCAACCUCUACAAUCUCUGGGACGCUGCGACAUCUCCGUGGCCAUUUCCCGGCCCACAGCAGCUUCCUCUAUUGUGGUCGCUUCUAGGCUCUAGGCGCAAACUGCAGUAGCAAUCUGCAGCAGUAAUCUACAACAGCAGCAAACUACAUCAGCAGUGCACAAUCUGCAGCAGCCUCGUUCGCCAACUUCUAUGACAUGAGCAUAUGAGAUGUUGCUGCAUCGGUUUGCAAGCAAAAAAAAAAAACUAGGAUGUCUUUGUUCUCUUCUUAUAAUAUUCCAGUUCUUGCAGGGACUCUCACUUCUUCUUCUACAGGGCUUAUCUCCAUCAAUGCUGCCACACAAAUCCCUUUCAAGUUAUCAAAGGGUGGCAACUAUGUAUCCUGGCGGGCUUAAUUUUCUAAUCUCUUAUUUGGAUACGACUUGUUAGGUUACAUUGAUGGCUCUUUCAGUUGUCCGCCAACCAUGCUUAACAUCCCUGGAGAACCUAGUCCAGGACCCAAUCCGGCUCAUAAACUGUGGUUGCAUCAAGAUCGUCUCAUCCUCUAAGCUAUUCAAGCCUCAGUUGCUGGAUCCGUCGCUCCUUUAAAAUCUUCAUGUGUGACUACUGUCGAUGCAUGGUCUAAACUGUAAACAACCUUGGCGAAUCAUUCGCGUACUGGCAAGCUCAGUCUUCUUUCCAAGCCGAUGGUGACAAAAUAAGAGGGAAGCACUAUAACUGAUUAUCUACAAAAUAUCAAGGUUAUCAUCGAUGACUUGGCUUUGAUAGGUCAUUCUCUAUGUGACAAAGAAAUCAUUAUCCAUACCCUAAAUGGUCUCGACAACGACUACAAGGAAUUGGCUGUUGCAAUUCGGGCAUGCGAUUCGCCAGUCUCUUUUGAUGAACUCUAUGAUAAGCUGAUUGACUAUAAGACAUAUUUGAAGCGUGCGGACAAAUUGCCUGGAUCGACUAUCACAGCUCAAGUCAAUCACAAGUCUAAAGAGCACUCGGUACCCUCCGAACAUUACCAAAGGUUUGGCCAAUGCACAUCUUGAUCCUAUGAGUCCCAUGCAACAUCCCUCUUAUCCUCAUAGUCAUCACUUCUCGCAAAGUGACAACUCCAAUAACCAUCCGUCUUGAUAUCCUGCCCCGUCGAGCCAUCAAAGAUGGGUCAUCUACUGUGACAAAAUAGAGAGAAAUUAUAGAAGAAGCUGAUUUACAUUAACAUGUCCCUCUCCUAUUUAUACAGGUUAGGAGAGAGGAUUUUUCUCAAUAGA
Musa acuminata AAA Group (dessert banana) is the source of this 3512-nucleotide RNA transcript. It is a transcript of the gene named vegetative cell wall protein gp1-like, with no coding region annotated. The transcript is spliced from 3 exons. The record is from RefSeq and is a predicted model, not a curated record. Lineage: Eukaryota; Viridiplantae; Streptophyta; Magnoliopsida; Zingiberales; Musaceae.